This 497-nucleotide ribosomal RNA is filed under the name uncultured bacterium. RNAcentral's name for it is "partial 16S ribosomal RNA". It matches the Rfam family "Bacterial small subunit ribosomal RNA", at positions 28 to 507 of the family's 1533-position model. The record is from RNAcentral.
GAUGAACGCUGGCGGCGUGCCUAAUACAUGCAAGUCGAGCGAACAGAUGAUGAGCUUGCUCCUCUGACGUUAGCGGCGGACGGGUGAGUAACACGUGGAUAACCUACCUAUCAUACUGGGAUAACUUCGGGAAACCGGAUCUAAUACCGGAUAAUAUAUUGAACCGCAUGGUUCAAUAGUAAAAUACGGUUUUGCUGUCACUUAUAGAUGGAUCCGCGCCGCAUUAGCUAGUUGGUAAGGUAACGGCUUACCAAGGCAACGAUGCGUAGCCGACCUGAGGGGGUGAUAGGCCACACUGGAGGUGAGACACGGUCCAUAGGACUAAGAGAGGCAGCAGUAGGGAACGUGCGGCAGUGGGCGAAAGCAUGACGGAGCAACGGCGCGUGAGAGAUGAAGGUCUUCGGAGCGUAAAACUCUGCUAUUAGGGAAGAACAACUGUGGAAGGAAAUAUGCACGUAGUGACGGUAACGAAUAAGAAAGCACCGGCUAACUACGUG